Diospyros lotus (date-plum) is the source of this 1989-nucleotide long non-coding RNA. RefSeq lists it as uncharacterized. The record is from RefSeq and is a predicted model, not a curated record. The transcript has 2 exons. NCBI's taxonomy places the organism in Eukaryota, Viridiplantae, Streptophyta, Magnoliopsida, Ericales, Ebenaceae.
AAUACCUAUUGAUGAGGGAAUAUUUAUAGGGGGGCAAUUUUACUGUGCUACCCCUAGAGGUUACUAUUAACUUGGAGCCAUGUGUGCUAGUAAAGGCCAAUGGGCGAUCGCCACGUGUCAAGACUUAGGAGUUCCGCUUAUCUUUAUAAUCUUUAUUAUGAUUUUGAAUUGGAAAGAGAUAAAGAAGAAGAUUAAGUCAACCAAUGAUAUCUUUAAAUAUCUCAAGAAUUAUCUCUAUUAGGGAAGAUUAUCUUUUCUCCCCAUGGAAAGGGGAUCAACCUCUCCUUUUGAAAUAUAUCUUAUCUCCUAAGGGAAAGGCCACGGGACAUCUAUAAAUAGAGGACAGGCUCUACAGGGAUCUGAUCUGACUCCUAAGGGACUCUUUUACUAUCUUCCAUUACUAUUAUACUCCUCAAAAACCCUAUGAACUGACUUGAGCGUCGGAGGGAUCACGGGGAGCGAGUCCCCACCCUUUUUGCAGGUACUUGGUCCGAGACAGAAGAAGGUGAUCGGCUCCGCAUCAUCAAUUGGCGCCCACCGUGGGGCCUUCGUCUUUUCCUUCUGUUUUCCAAGUACAAUUUCAAGCCGUAGGAAAUCUAUUCAACUCAAUUACACGUAUUUGCUGAUUGCAUCAUGGGUACGCUUGUUUCUCUUUUAAUAUUUUUUGUGCCUCCUACGAUUUUAUUUUUCAAUUAUUGUUUUAUGUAAAAAUAAUUGAAAGAGAAGGCCAAAAGAUUCAUAUAUAUAUAUAUGUUCAAUCACAUAAAAGAAGCGUAAUUCUGCCAUUACAUUCAUAUUAUAUGAAUAUAUAUAUGUUGGAGAAAAGCUUAUCAUGGAAGCCUAGCGGAGUAAAUAAGAAGAGAGGUGUUAUAUUAUAAUAUUAAAGGGGAAGACUUCCUGGAAAGGGAGUAUAUACCCAGAAACCACCAUGGAUGAGCCAGGCGAUGCCCGCAGCAAGCAGCGAUAAUGGUUGCGGCGGAAGCUCCGUUAAUAUCGCUUUGGUUAAAACUUAUUUCCCUUGUUUUAUCAUUCUAGUGUUUUAACUACUAUUUAUUGGAGAAUUGCUAGAUAUAUGCAAAAGGUUUUAAUUUGAAUUGCUUGAUAGAUAUGCUCCAAUGACUCGAAUUUUAAUUGAUUCUGUUAAAAUGUUCGGGAUUAAUAACGUUAGCAGACGAAAGGCUCGCCCCGAACACCUGCGGAUGUAGGCGUUAUGCCGAACCGCAAAAAUAAAAUACUCUAUUUAAUUGCGGACGUAGGCGUUACGCCGAACCGCGAAAACAAAAUAUUUGUUAUUCUUUAAUUGCGGAUGUAGGCGUUACGCCGAACCGCGAAGACAAAAUAUUAUUAUUCUUUAAUUGCGGACGUAGGCAUUUCACCGAACCGCGAAAAUAAAAUAAGGAUAUUAUUUGAAAUCCCGUCAUCAACUACAAUCCAAGCCAACAUGUGCGAAUGAAAACCGAAGGUCCGAAAGGCCUCAACAACGCAAGAGUAAAGGAUCAGAUGUGAUCCUUGGGGGGCCCCGAACCCCCGAACACUGAAAAACAAGGGAUCAGAUAUGAUCCUCGGGGGGCCUCGAACCCUCGAACACUCAAGAUGAAGGGAUCAGAUAUGAUCCUCGGGGGGCCUCGAACCCUCGAACACUCAAGAUGAAGGGAUCAGAUAUGAUCCUCGGGGGGCCUCGAACCCUUGAACACUUAAGAUGAAAGGAUCAAAUGUGAUCCUCGCAGGGCCUCGAACCCCUAACCAGAAAACAUGAACGACUCAAAGGGGACCACCCCUACUAAUUAAGGCACCAGUUCGGAGGCUACGAAUCUCCGCCACAUGAAGACCAAAGGGGACCACCCCUACUAAUUAAGGUACCAGUUCGGAGGCUAUGAACCUCGACCAAAUGAAGACCAAAAGGUAUCAGUUCGGAGGCUAUGAACCUCCACCAAGUGAAGACCAAAGGGGACCACCCCUACUAAUUAAGGCACUAGUUCGGAGGCUACG